CCAAUAGCGUAUAUUAGUGUUGUUGCGGUUAAAAAGCUCGUAGUUGAAUUUCGGGAUUGGGAUAUAUUGGUCGUGCCUUUAGGGGCAUGAAUCGGUGUGUGGCCAAUUCUCACUUUCUGGUGAAUUGGGAUGCUCUCGGGUGUUUCAAUGAACUAGGACUUUUACUUUGAAAAAAUUAGAGUGUUUAAAGCGGGCAUUUUUGCUUGAAUACGUUAGCAUGGAAUAAUAAAAUAGGACGAUGGUUCUAUUUUGUUGGUUUUAGGACCACGUAAUGAUUAAUAGGGAUAGUGGGGGGCAUUAGUAUUCAAUUGUCAGAGGUGAAAUUCUUGGAUUUAUUGAGGACUAACUACUGCGAAAGCAUUUGCCAAGGAUGUUUUCAUUAAUCAAGAACGAAAGUUAGGGGAUCAAAGACGAUUUAUGUACGUCGUAGUCUUAACCAUAAACUAUGCCGACUAGGAAUCAGACAAAGUUAAUUUUUUAACGACUUGUUUGGUACCUUACG
This 502-nucleotide ribosomal RNA is filed under the name uncultured Glomeromycotina. RNAcentral describes it as "partial small subunit ribosomal RNA". It matches the Rfam family "Eukaryotic small subunit ribosomal RNA", at positions 591 to 1092 of the family's 1831-position model. The record is from RNAcentral. Lineage: Eukaryota; Fungi; Glomeromycota.